RNAcentral lists this ribosomal RNA (492 nucleotides) under uncultured bacterium. Its description in RNAcentral is "partial 16S ribosomal RNA". It matches the Rfam family "Bacterial small subunit ribosomal RNA", at positions 29 to 507 of the family's 1533-position model. The record is from RNAcentral.
AGUGAACGCUGGCGGUAUGCCUAACACAUGCAAGUCGAACGGCAGCACAGUAAGAGCUUGCUCUUACGGGUGGCGAGUGGCGGACGGGUGAGGAAUACAUCGGAAUCUACUUUUUCGUGGGUGACAACGUAGGGAAACUUACGCUAAUACCGCAUACGACCUACGGGUGAAAGCAGUGGAUCUUCGGACCUUUCGCGAUUGAAUGAGCCGAUGUCGCAUUAGCUAGUUGGCUGGGUAAAGGCCCACCAAGGCGACGAUCCGUAGCUGAGCUGAGAGGAUGAUCAGCCACACUGGAACUGAGACACGGUCCAGACUCCUACGGGAGGCAGCAGUGGGGAAUAUUGGACAAUGGGCGAAAGCCUGAUCGAGCCAUACCGCGUGGGUGAAGAAGGUCUUCGGGUUGUAAAGCCCUUUUGUUGGGAAAGAAAAACAGCAGGUGAAUCCCUGGCUGUCCUGACGGUACCUAAAGAAUAAGCACCGGCUAACUUCGUG